AGUUACUUAAUUGAACUAUUUGGGUCAAUGAGACGACUCUAAGUGGGCCAUUUUGGUAGCAGAACUGGCGAUGAGGGAUGACCUAACGCUCGGUUAAGGUGCUAAACUGCUCGCUCAUCAGAUACCACAAAGGGUGUUGGUCGAUCUUAACAGCAGGACGGUGGUCAUGGAAGUCGAAAUCCGCUAAGGAGUGUGUAACAACUCACCUGCCGAAUCGACUAGCCCCGAAAAUGGAUAGCGCUGAAGCGAGUGACCGAUACCGGGCCAUUGUUGCAAGAUAAUUGGCAACAAUGAGUAGGAGGGCGUGGGGGUUGUGAAGAAGCUUGGACGUGAGUCUGAGUGAAACAGCUUCCAGUGCAGAUCUUGGUGGUAGUAGCAAGUAUUCAAUAAGAGAACAUUGAAGGCCGAAGUGGGGAAGGGUUCCAUGUGAACAGCACUUGGACAUGGGUUAGCCGAUCCUGAGAGACAGGUUAAAUUCCAUCGGAUUGGAGCUUUGGCUCUGUUUCUCGAAAGGGAAGCUGGUUAGUAUUCCAGCGCCGAGACGUGGAUAAUAUGUGGCAACACAAGUGAACUCGGACACGCCAUAGGGGACCCCAGGAAGCGUUGUCUUUUCUUUUUAACAGUUCGACUUACCCUGGAAUCAGAUCAUCUGGAGAUAGGGUUUUCGAACUGGAAUAGCACCUUGUCUAACAGGGUGUCUGGAGUGUUCUCGCUGGCCCUUGAAAAUCCGAGGGAUAGAUUUAUUCGCACUCUCGAUCGUACCCAUAACCGCAUCAGGUCUCCAAGGUUAGAAGCCUCUGGUCCGUAGGACAAAGUAGAUAAGGGAAGUCGGCAAAAUAGGUCCGUAACUUCGGGAAAAGGACUGGCUCUGAGGUUUGGUAUGUGGAACCUGGAUUAAUCGUUGGAGUCGAGCAGAGACUACUUGUUGCUCACGUGACUUGUGGACUCCUUGCUUGAUACCUUCAAUUGAUCCAGGCUGCUUCGGCGCUCUGCAUGCACUUAACAAACAGCUCAGAACUGGAGCGGACAAGGGAAUCCGACUGUUUAAUCAAAACAAAGCAUUGUGAUGGCCUCAAAAG
Molecule: non-coding RNA, 1079 nt
Filed under: Perkinsus marinus ATCC 50983
Lineage: Eukaryota; Perkinsozoa; Perkinsida; Perkinsidae
Description: Eukaryotic large subunit ribosomal RNA
Rfam family: Eukaryotic large subunit ribosomal RNA
Source: Rfam by way of RNAcentral